Molecule: ribosomal RNA, 490 nt
Filed under: uncultured bacterium
Lineage: Bacteria
Description: partial 16S ribosomal RNA
Rfam family: Bacterial small subunit ribosomal RNA
Source: RNAcentral
AUUGAACGCUGGCGGCAGGCCUAACACAUGCAAGUCGAACGGUAACAGGAAACAGCUUGCUGUUUCGCUGACGAGUGGCGGACGGGUGAGUAAUGUCUGGGAAACUGCCUGAUGGAGGGGGAUAACUACUGGAAACGGUAGCUAAUACCGCAUAACGUCGCAAGACCAAAGAGGGGGACCCUCGGGCCUCUUGCCAUCGGAUGUGCCCAGAUGGGAUUAGCUUGUUGGUGGGGUAACGGCUCACCAAGGCGACGAUCCCUAGCUGGUCUGAGAGGAUGACCAGCCACACUGGAACUGAGACACGGUCCAGACUCCUACGGGAGGCAGCAGUGGGGAAUACUGCACAAUGGGCGCAAGCCUGAUGCAGCCAUGCCGCGUGUAUGAAGAAGGCCUUCGGGUUGUAAAGUACUUUCAGCGGGGAGGAAGGGAGUAAAGUUAAUACCUUUGCUCAUUGACGUUACCCGCAGAAGAAGCACCGGCUAACUCCGUG